Molecule: ribosomal RNA, 408 nt
Filed under: uncultured bacterium
Lineage: Bacteria
Description: partial 16S ribosomal RNA
Rfam family: Bacterial small subunit ribosomal RNA
Source: RNAcentral
GACGAACGCUGGCGGCGUGCUUAACACAUGCAAGUCGAACGAAGUGGCGAACGGGUGAGUAACGCGUAAUCAACCUGCCCUUCAGAGGGGGACAACAGUUGGAAACGACUGCUAAUACCGCAUACUGAAGGAGGGGAUUGCGUCUGAUUAGCUAGUUGGAGGGGUCACGGCCCACCAAGGCGAUGAUCAGUAGCCGGGCUGGAGGGAAGGACCGCUACAUUGGGACUGAGGACCGGCUCAAGCUCCUACGGGGGGCAGCAAUGGGGAAUUUUCCGCAAUGGGCGGAAGUCUGACGGAGCAACGCCGCGUGAGUGAUGACGGCCUUCGGGUUGUAAAGCUCUGUUAAUCGGGGCGCGUUACCGGAAUAGAAAGCCACGGCUAACUACGUGCCAGCAGCCGCGGUAAUAC